RNAcentral lists this ribosomal RNA (375 nucleotides) under uncultured eukaryote. RNAcentral's name for it is "partial 18S ribosomal RNA". It matches the Rfam family "Eukaryotic small subunit ribosomal RNA", at positions 592 to 976 of the family's 1831-position model. The record is from RNAcentral.
CAAUAGCGUAUAUUUAAGUUGUUGCAGUUAAAAAGCUCGUAGUUGGAUUUCGGUUAAGAGCGACCGGUCCGCCGUUUGGUGUGCACUGGCUGGUUUUAACUUCCUGUAGAGGACGUGCUCUGGGUUUAACGACCUGGACUCGGAGUCUACGUGGUUACUUUGAAAAAAUUAGAGUGUUCAAAGCGGGCUUACGCUUGAAUAUUUCAGCAUGGAAUAACACUAUAGGACUCCUGUCCUAUUUCGUUGGUCUCGGGACGGGAGUAAUGAUUAAGAGGAACAGUUGGGGGCAUUCGUAUUUCAUUGUCAGAGGUGAAAUUCUUGGAUUUAUGAAAGACGAACUUCUGCGAAAGCAUUUGCCAAGGAUGUUUNCAUUAA